RNAcentral lists this ribosomal RNA (771 nucleotides) under uncultured delta proteobacterium. RNAcentral describes it as "bacterial SSU rRNA". It matches the Rfam family "Bacterial small subunit ribosomal RNA", at positions 58 to 810 of the family's 1533-position model. The record is from RNAcentral. Lineage: Bacteria; Deltaproteobacteria.
CAAGUCGAGCGAGAAAGGGACUUCGGUCCUUAGUAAAGCGGCGGACGGGUGAGUAAUACGUAGGUAACCUGCCCUUCAGUGGGGGACAACAAUUCGAAAGGAUUGCUAAUACCGCAUUCGUCGGCGAGCGCCUUGGUGCUUGUCGGGAAAGCCGGGCCGCAAGGUCUGGCGCUGGAGGAGGGGCCUGCGUCGCAUCAGCUAGUUGGUGGGGUAAUGGCCCACCAAGGCGAAGACGCGUAGCUGGUCUGAGAGGAUGAUCAGCCACACUGGGACUGAGACACGGCCCAGACUCCUACGGGAGGCAGCAGUGGGGAAUAUUGGACAAUGGACGCAAGUCUGAUCCACCCACGCCGCGUGAGUGAUGAAGGCCUUCGGGUCGUAAAGCUCUGUGGGGAGGGACGAACCGCCAAUGGCUCAUACCCAUCGGCAUGACGGUACCUCCUUAGCAAGCACCGGCUAACUUCGUGCCAGCAGCCGCGGUAAUACGAAGGGUGCAAACGUUGCUCGGAAUCAUUGGGCGUAAAGCGCACGUAAGCGGCUAUCUAAGUCGGAUGUGAAAUCCCUCGGCUUAACCAAGGAAGUGCAUCCAAAACUGGAUAGCUUGAGUACUGAAGAGGAUCGCGGAAUUCCCGGUGUAAAGGUGAAAUUCGUAAAUUUCGGGGAGGAACCCCAGUGGCGAAGGCGGCAAUCUGGGCAAAUACUGACCCUGAGGUGCGAAAGCGUGGGGAGCAAACGGGAUUAGAUACCCUGGUAGUCCACGCCGUAAACAAU